Molecule: unclassified non-coding RNA, 412 nt
Filed under: Xenorhabdus kozodoii
Lineage: Bacteria; Pseudomonadati; Pseudomonadota; Gammaproteobacteria; Enterobacterales; Morganellaceae
Description: 16S-23S ribosomal RNA intergenic spacer
Rfam family: tRNA (bases 165-237)
Source: RNAcentral
CCGAGUGAUAGCAGAUUUGUGUAGUGUCCACACAGAUUGUCUGAUAGAGAAGAGCCGGAUGCGGUAUAGGCUUGUAGCUCAGGUGGUUAGAGCGCACCCCUGAUAAGGGUGAGGUCGGUGGUUCAAGUCCACUCAGGCCUACCAGUUUUUCCGGGAAACACGAUGGGGCUAUAGCUCAGCUGGGAGAGCGCCUGCCUUGCACGCAGGAGGUCAGCGGUUCGAUCCCGCUUAGCUCCACCAUCCUCUUCUUGCCACCUUAAUAAUUUCAGAACACAUUCCUGGCAGUGUGUUGUGAAAUUUAUGCUCUUUAACAAUCUGGAACAAGCUGAAAAUUGAAACAAUCCGUGCCGUUGCGACAAGGGCACGGGUGAGUCUCUCAACACUCCGACUCGAAGACACCUUCGGGUUGUGA